GGAGACGUGGGUGAGUGGCUUAAACCAGGUCCUUGCUAAGGAUCCAGGCCUUUACGGGUCUCCAGAGUUCGAACCUCUGCGUCUCCGCCA
This 90-nucleotide transfer RNA is filed under the name Oligoflexia bacterium. RNAcentral describes it as "tRNA-Ser". It matches the Rfam family "tRNA". From Rfam's summary of the family: Transfer RNA (tRNA) molecules are approximately 80 nucleotides in length. The record is from RNAcentral. Lineage: Bacteria; Pseudomonadati; Bdellovibrionota; Oligoflexia.